CAUACUCUUGGUCCUGCCAAGUUCAUGUUCAAACGCAGCGUGCUGCUGAAUGAACUUUUAUUUCAGCUCUUGCUCAGCAGGAUCAUUCCUCCACCCUCAGGGCCUCUGAGCUGAAUCGAAUAGCUGCAAACCCUGACACUGUCCUGACCUUUCAAAACUGUCAGGCAAGCUGUUCUGGAGAACAAAUCCUUCUUGUUCCCUUGGACCACAAUUCCCACAAGCCUUUGCAGACACAUUCUAGAUUAUAGAGCAUUGGGACUUUGGUACCGUGACAGACAGAAGCAGAGAAUGAACAGCCAUGAUGGGUCAUCAAAAUUCUGAGACUAGAGGCUGCUGUCUACAACUGUGUAACCAUAAGAGGACCUAAAUUAUGACCAAAGCAACUCCCCCAGGAGACAACUCCUUGGCUGACAGCAGUUGCGUGUGAGCUGUUAUGAUGAGGGAAUGACUUAACAGGAAUGCGGUCAGAUUAAACUCUCCAUGCGUGUUUCCUCAUCUGGAAAUAAGCCAUUCUUAGGCCCGGAAAGAGUGGGAGUCUCGGCUCCCUGCCAGACUGGAUCGUUAAGGGGCCAAUCAGAGCGAUUGCUGGAGGACUGCCCGGCACAGGCCUGAGGGUGUUGUUGUAAGACUCUUUAUUCUCAGGCUCCCCUCUCUCCCCUUGGUCUUUGCGUCUGCCCUCCCAGGGAGGAUGCCCAGCCCCUGCUCCCUCGUGCAUAGGCAGGACCCCAGGGUCCCUGUUCCUACACAGAGUUUAUUUCAUCACUUGGCUGAAGCUCCUACUGGCCAUUUCUGCCCGAAGCCAUUCCCCUCUGGGUGUUCUGAUUGGCUGGAGACCCUCAGCCUGGAAAUGGAUCCUUUCUCCCUGUGACCAAACUGUCCCACAAGGCACUUUGGGCUGGGAUAUCUCAAUUGUGCCACCUUUGUGGCCCGAGGAGAACAUUUAACUUCCCUGAGACUCGGUUUCCUCACCUGUAAAAUGGGAAUCCAUUCCACAGGGUUCAUGGGUUGACCUUUCAGAGCUGGCAAUUUGAUUCAAUAAUCCAAUUCACACGUAUUGAGCACCUACUAUGUGUCAGGCACUGAACUAAAACCUGGGG
Molecule: long non-coding RNA, 1097 nt
Organism: Vombatus ursinus (common wombat)
Lineage: Eukaryota; Metazoa; Chordata; Mammalia; Diprotodontia; Vombatidae
Exons: 4
Source: RefSeq, a predicted model, not a curated record